CCUACGGGGUGCAGCAGUGGGGAAUAUUGGGCAAUGGGCGCAAGCCUGACCCAGCAACGCCGCGUGAAGGAAGAAGGCUUUCGGGUUGUAAACUUCUUUUGUCAGGGACGAAGCACGUGACGGUACCUGACGACUAAGCCACGGCUAACUACGUGCCAGCAGCCGCGGUAAUACGUAGGUGGCAAGCGUUAUCCGGAUGUCCUGGGUGUACAGGGCGUGUAGGCGGGGAAGCAAGUCAGAUGUGAAAACCACGGGCUCAACCUGUGGCCUGCAUUUGAAACUGUUUGUCUUGAGUGCUGGAGAGGCUAUCGGAAUUCCGUGUGUAGCGGUGAAAUGCGUAGAUAUACGGAGGAACACCAGUGGCGAAGGCGGAUUGCUGGACAGUAACUGACGCUGAGGCGCGAAAGCGUGGGGAGCAAACAGGAUUAGAUACCCGAGUAGUC
Molecule: ribosomal RNA, 443 nt
Filed under: uncultured bacterium
Lineage: Bacteria
Description: partial 16S ribosomal RNA
Rfam family: Bacterial small subunit ribosomal RNA
Source: RNAcentral